RNAcentral lists this transfer RNA (72 nucleotides) under Diabrotica virgifera virgifera (western corn rootworm). RNAcentral describes it as "transfer RNA serine (anticodon GGA)". It matches the Rfam family "tRNA". Rfam says of the family: Transfer RNA (tRNA) molecules are approximately 80 nucleotides in length. Lineage: Eukaryota; Metazoa; Arthropoda; Insecta; Coleoptera; Chrysomelidae. The record is from Rfam by way of RNAcentral.
GGGAGUAUAGCUCAGUGGUAGAGCGUUCGACUGGAGAUCGAGAGGUCCCCGGUUCAAAUCCGUGUGUUUUCU